This is a long non-coding RNA of Oncorhynchus tshawytscha (Chinook salmon), 2076 nucleotides long. Lineage: Eukaryota; Metazoa; Chordata; Actinopteri; Salmoniformes; Salmonidae. The record is from Ensembl.
CAGGGAACAGCCGUGCCCACACAGCCCUCCACAUGCAUACAGCAUCACCGCUGUGACAGGAUGGAUGAUAGAUGACGAGGCAUGUCAUGAGGAUAUAGGCGGAACUUCAGGGAUGUUUUAAAUUCUAUCUCACAAACUCACUUCAGACUGUGUGGGCUUCUCUAAGCCAGAUACUUUUCUUUGUCCUCCUCGUGCUGCUACCAUUUUGGGGAGAAGAAGAGUGAAAAGGAGAGGACAAGUUUUGGGUUUUUGUGAUGAAUUUGUACAUGAGCUUUAGCAAUCUUCUGGAGAUCUGGGUGACUGAGGGUAGACCCCCCAACAUCAUCUCAGACCCCCAGGAAGGGGUAGCUUUGGAGGGCCAGUGGGAAGGGGGUGACUCUGGAGAUCCCCUCACCCUUUCAGGGACUACUUCCAUGUCUAAAUCUGACGUGGGUACAGAGGAUUCUGGGGUGGAGAUAACCAGCUCUGAGGCUUCUCUCCCUUCCUCCUCUUCGUCUGUGUCCAUGUGUAAUACAGCUAUUGAUCCUGUCUCAACUUCAAUCAGGGAGGAGGAUGGACUCCCCUCUACCUCUCCUCCAUGCUCUCCUGUCCUCUCUCCGCCAUCCUUCUGCUCCUCUUCCUCCCUGUCGCUCUGCCUUAGGACCAGGGCUCAGGGGCACAGGGAGCUUGCUGUGGUCAUGCACCGAAAAGUGGAGCAGGCACUGCGGAGGACAGACACAAGUGGCAGGCGGCAGGUCCUGAGGCAUGGAGGCAGAGACGCCGUGUCACGACGGCAGUGUCACAUGGCUUCACUACCCUCAACGCACUCAGUGACCCAUAACCAGAGGGCAGGUCACAGGUCAGGGAGUGCUGGUCUGAGGAGGACAGUCAGUCUGUCAGUUGUGGAUGAACAGGCCUCAACAGAGCUGCUGCAGCACAGAGGAGGCCUCUCCCCACAGCACAACGCUCUGCCUCCUCAGACAGAGACAGAGAUCUGGAAGAAUGAUGUGUGUGAGAGAGCGUAUGAGGGGCUCACCCCAGGGCUGGGGUACCUGGAGCAUGUGUGCCGGAUGCUGGAGGAGAUUGCUAGGCUACAGAUGCAUAACCAGAGGUUACAGGUGGAGAUGGAGGCUCUCCGGGAGCAGCAGGAGAGCAGGAAUUCACAACACAGUCAGUGUGACUGCAAGGCUGCUGAGGAUGGUGGCCGCUCUGCCAAUGAAAGACGACUUAAUGCUAAAGAUUAUGUUGAGGACUUACCCUGCCAAUCAUUUAAAAAUAAUUGUAACGUGCAUCAGCAUUUUCGACGGAGGUCAGCAUCGGACACAAGACUCAUGAUGGGAUAUCUGAGGAAGUUGAAGGAAGAGUCUGGACGGUGGUACCUGAGUAUAGAGGACCUGCUUGAACAGCCCAAGGAUGACAAAAAGCAGGAGAAAGAAGAGGUAGGAAAGAAAGAGCAGGGAAGUAGGAUUAAGACCUGGAAACUGAAGAUUGGCUCUCUGAGGAGGGAGGAGACCACAGAGAAAACCAGCAAACCGAUUCAUUCAUCCGUGGAGAAGGUGAGCGGGCGUCGGUUGAGACAGCUUUUCAAGAGAAGGAAAACUGUGCCAGAAUGAGAAGAGCAGAAUAUUCCAACAUUACAGUCAUUGGUUCUUAGUAACAUUCCUCUGUUAAGACUUGGAGAAUGAGGACACAUACUGUAACACUUUUUCCACAAAGCUGUGGAUUCACAGGACGCCAAUCUAUUUAGUCAUCUCAAUAUAUGGAUAUUGGUGUUUGUCUGCUGCUACAUGUAUAGUUAUUUAUACUCAGGUAGCAUACAUAUUUUUAUAUUGCAAGUUUAUACAGCCAAUAACCAAUGUGUUUUUAUGUUUCGUUGAUGUCCAAGUACAUUAGCUAUAGGAUAUGAUCAUAUAAUGUUUUAAAAUAAGUAAAGCCAGUGCAAUGUAUAUAUAUUUCAUCACUUGUCCAUGUCUGUCUGUAUCCCCACGUCUGCAACAGGAUAUUUAUUUUUCACUUUUGCUUUAUACAGUCUUUUCAGGAAAAUAUAUGUGUGUAUAUAUGUGUGUGUAUAUAUAAAAAUAUAUGUAUGUGUAUAUA